Long non-coding RNA from Maniola jurtina (meadow brown), 284 nucleotides. RefSeq lists it as uncharacterized. The transcript is spliced from 2 exons. NCBI's taxonomy places the organism in Eukaryota, Metazoa, Arthropoda, Insecta, Lepidoptera, Nymphalidae. The record is from RefSeq and is a predicted model, not a curated record.
GGGAGUUUUGCUUCGGAAGUAACAGUUACUGGUCGUCUAAUUCCCUCUCCUCAACUGCCAUAUAAUAGACAACUCAAUAAUGAUAUAAAAACAGUGUUUGGCAGACAAGGAUACCCUGAUGGCAUCGACAAAAAUCCCAAUAACGUUUUGCCCUUUCAAUACCCUUCUGACUGCUCUGAAUACUGAUAGACUUCUUAAAACUUGUAACAUACAAAUUAUAAAAAAGUUGAAAACUAAAACCCGACUACGAUCAUCCUAAUAAACGCUGAAAUAAUGGAAUAAAA